Molecule: ribosomal RNA, 483 nt
Filed under: uncultured bacterium
Lineage: Bacteria
Description: SSU rRNA
Rfam family: Bacterial small subunit ribosomal RNA
Source: RNAcentral
AGAAUGAACGUUGGCGGCGUGGAUUAGGCAUGCAAGUCGAGCGAGAACUGGCCGCAAGGCUGGGGACAGCGGCGUAAGGGACAGUAAAGUACAGGUACCUACCCUCAGGACCGGGAUAGCUGCGGGAAACUGCAGGUAAUACCGGAUAAUGUCUUCGGACCAAAGGUGUGAGUCCGCCCGUGGAGGGGCCUGUAUCCUAUUAGCUUGUUGGUGAGGUAACGGCUCACCAAGGCCAUGAUGGGUAGCGGGUGUGAGAGCACGACCCGCGUCACUGGGACUGAGACACUGCCCAGACACCUACGGGUGGCUGCAGUCGAGGAUCUUCGGCAAUGGGCGCAAGCCUGACCGAGCGACGCCGCGUGCGGGAUGAAGGCCUUCGGGUUGUAAACCGCUGUCAGUGGGAGGAAACGCCGGUGGGUACUCCCAUCGGUUUGACCUAUCCGCAGAGGAAGUACGGGCUAAGUUCGUGCCAGCAGCCGCGGU